GAACGCACCUUGCGCCCUUUGGCUAUUCCGAAGGGCAUGCCUGUUUGAGUAUCAUGAACACCUCAACUCUCAUGGUUCGCCAUGAUGAGCUUGGACUCUGGGGGUCUUGCUGGCUCAUGGUCAGCUCCUCUUAAAUGAAUCAGCUUGCCAGUGUUUGGUGGCAUCACGGGUGUGAUAACUAUCUACGCUUGUGGUUUUCCACCAGGUAACCUUCAGUGAUGAAGGUUCGCUGGGGCUCAUAAAUGUCUCUCCUCAGUGAGGACAGCUCUUUGAAUGUUUGAUCUCAAAUCAGGUAGGACUACCCGCUGAACUUAAG
RNAcentral lists this unclassified non-coding RNA (316 nucleotides) under uncultured Tomentella. RNAcentral describes it as "sequence contains 5.8S rRNA gene". The record is from RNAcentral. Lineage: Eukaryota; Fungi; Basidiomycota; Agaricomycetes; Thelephorales; Thelephoraceae.